AAUACGUUCCCGGGUCUUGUACACACCGCCCGUCAAGACAUGGAAGUCACCAAUGCCCGACGUUCCGCCUCAGGUGGACCUAAGGCAGGGGGGAUGACUGGGUCU
RNAcentral lists this ribosomal RNA (105 nucleotides) under uncultured bacterium. RNAcentral's name for it is "partial 16S ribosomal RNA". It matches the Rfam family "Bacterial small subunit ribosomal RNA", at positions 1365 to 1482 of the family's 1533-position model. The record is from RNAcentral.